GAUGAACGCUGGCGGCGUGCCUAAUACAUGCAAGUCGAGCGAACAGAUGAGGAGCUUGCUCCUCUGACGUUAGCGGCGGAUGGGUGAGUAACACGUGGAUAACCUACCUAUAAGACUGGGAUAACUUCGGGAAACCGGAGCUAAUACCGGAUAAUAUAUUGAACCGCAUGGUUCAAUAGUGAAAGACGGUUUUGCUGUCACUUAUAGAUGGAUCCGCGCCGCAUUAGCUAGUUGGUAAGGUAACGGCUUACCAAGGCAACGAUGCGUAGCCGACCUGAGAGGGUGAUCGGCCACACUGGAACUGAGACACGGUCCAGACUCCUACGGGAGGCAGCAGUAGGGAAUCUUCCGCAAUGGGCGAAAGCCUGACGGAGCAACGCCGCGUGAGUGAUGAAGGUCUUCGGAUCGUAAAACUCUGUUAUUGGGGAAGAACAAAUGUGUAAGUAACUAUGCACGUCUUGACGGUACCUAAUCAGAAAGCCACGGCUAACUACGUG
Molecule: ribosomal RNA, 497 nt
Filed under: uncultured bacterium
Lineage: Bacteria
Description: partial 16S ribosomal RNA
Rfam family: Bacterial small subunit ribosomal RNA
Source: RNAcentral